GUUUUGUUCACCUUUCAUUUGCCUUUACGACACUAUCGGUUGGGUUUAGAUGUUGAUUUAGGGUAAGCGUGUGUGUUUUGUUCACCUUUCAUGUGUGUACAUGACACUAUCGGUUAGGUUUAGAUGUUGAUUUAGGGUAAGCAUGUGUGUUUUGUUCACCUUUCAUGUGUGUACAUGACACUAUCGGUUAGGUUUAGGUGUUGAUUUAGGGUAAGCAUGUGUGUUUUGUUCACCUUUCAUUUGCAUUUAUGACACUAUCGGUUAGGUUUAGAUGUUGAUUUAGGGUAAGCAUGUGUGUUUUGUUCACCUUUCAUUUGCGAUAACGACACUAUCGGUUAGGUUUAGGUGUUGAUUUAGGGUAAGCAUGUGUGUUUUGUUCACCUUUCAUUUGUGUUUAUGACACUAUCGGUUAGGUUUAGAUGUUGAUUUAGGGUAAGCAUGUGUGUUUUGUUCACCUUUCAUUUGCGAUAACGACACUAUCGGUUAGGUUUAGGUGUUGAUUUAGGGUAAGCGUGUGUGUUUUGUUCACCUUUCAUUUGCGUUUACGACACUAUCGGUUGGGUUUAGAUGUUGAUUUAGGGUAAGCGUGUGUGUUUUAUUCACCUUUCAUUUGUGUUUAUGACACUAUCGGUUAGGUUUAGGUGUUGAUUUAGGGUAAGCGUGUGUGUUUUGUUCAUCUUUCAUUUGCGUUUAUGACACUAUCGGUUAGGUUUAGGUGUUGAUUUAGGGUAAGCAUGUGUGUUUUGUUCACCUUUCAUUUGCCUUUACGACACUAUCGGUUGGGUUUAGAUGUUGAUUUAGGGUAAGCGUGUGUGUUUUGUUUAUCUUUCAUUUGCGUUUAUGACACUAUCGGUUAGGUUUAGGUGUUGAUUUAGGGUAAGCGUGUGUGUUUUGUUCACCUUUCAUUUGCGUUCAUGACACUAUCGAUUAGGUUUAGGUGUUAAUUUAGGGUAAGCAUGUGUGUUUUGUUCACCUUUCAUUUGCCUUUACGACACUAUCGGUUGGGUUUAGUUGUUGAUUUAGGGUAAGCGUGUGUGUUUUAUUCACCUUUCAUGUGUGUACAUGACACUAUCGGUUAGGUUUAGAUGUUGAUUUAGGGUAAGCGUGUGUGUUUUGUUCACCUUUCAUUUGCGUUUACAACACUAUCGGUUAGGUUUAGAUGUUGAUUUAGGGUAAGCGUGUGUGUUUUGUUCACCUUUCAUUUGCGUUUACGACACUAUCGGUUAGGUUUAGGUGUUGAUUUAGGGUAAGCGUGUGUGUUUUGGUCACCUUUCAUGUGUGUACAUGACACUAUCGGUUAGGUUUAGGUGUUGAUUUAGGGUAAGCAUGUGUGUUUUGUUCACCUUUCAUGUGUGUACAUAACACUAUCGGUUAGGUUUAGGUGUUGAUUUAGGGUAAGCGUGUGUGUUUUAUUCACCUUUCAUGUGUGUACAUGACACUAUCGGUUGGGUUUAAAUGUUGAUUUAGGGUAAGCAUGUGUGUUUUGUUCACCUUUCAUUUGCGUUUACGACACUAUCAGUUAGGUGUAGUUGUUGACUUAGGGUAAGCGUGUGUGUUUUAUGCACCUUUCAUUUGCGUUUACGACACUACCGGUUAGGUGUAGUUGUUGAUUUAGGGUAAGCGUGUGUGUUUUAUGGACCUUUCAUUUGCGUUUACGACACUGUCGGUUAGGUUUAGAUGUUGAUUUAGGGUAAGCAUGUGUGUUUUGUUCACCUUUCAUGUGUGUACAUGACACUAUCGGUUAGGUUUAGGUGUUGAUUUAGGGUAAGCAUGUGUGUUUUGUUCACCUUUCAUUUGCGUUUAUGACACUAUCGGUUAGGUUUAGAUGUUGAUUUAGGGUAAGCGUGUGUGUUUUGUUCACCUUUCAUUUGCGUUUACGACACUAUCAGUUAGGUUUAGGUGUUGAUUUAGGGUAAGCGUGUGUGUUUUGUUCACCUUUCAUUUGCCUUUACGACACUAUCGGUUGGGUUUAGAUGUUGAUUUAGGGUAAGCGUGUGUUUUGUUCACCUUUCAUGUGUGUACAUGACACUAUCGGUUAGGUUUAGGUGUUGAUUUAGAGUAAGCAUGUGUGUUUUGUUCACCUUUCAUUUGCGUUCAUGACACUAUCGGUUAGGUUUAGGUGUUGAUUUAGAGUAAGCAUGUGUGUUUUGUUCACCUUUCAUUUGCGUUCAUGACACUAUCGGUUAGGUUUAGGUGUUGAUUUAGGGUAAGCAUGUGUGUUUUGUUCACCUUUCAUUUGCAUUUAUGACACUAUCGGUUAGGUUUAGGUGUUGAUUUAGGGUAAGCGUGUGUGUUUUGGUCACCUUUCAUGUGUGUACAUUACACUAUCGGUUAGGUUUAGGUGUUGAUUUAGGGUAAGCAUGUGUGUUUUGUUCACCUUUCAUUUGCAUUUAUGACGCUAUCCGUUAGGUUUAGUUGUUGAUUUAAGGUAAGCGUGUGUGUUUUGUUCACCUUUCAUUUGCGAUAACGACACUAUCGGUUAGGUUUAGAUGUUGAUUUAGGGUAAGCAUGUGUGUUUUGUUCACCUUUCAUUUGCGUUUACGACACUAUCGGUUAGGUUUAGGUGUUGAUUUAGGGUAAGCGUGUGUGUUUUGUUUAUCUUUCAUUUGCGUUUACGACACUAUCGGUUAGGUUUAGAUGUUGAUUUAGGGUAAGCGUGUGUGUUUUGUUCACCUUUCAUUUGCGUUUAUGACACUAUCGGUUAGGUUUAGGUGUUGAUUAAGGGUAAGCAUGUCUGUUUUGUUUACAUCUUGUCUACAUUUGCUUUUUUUAACACUAUUGCUUAAAUUUAGGUUAAAGUUGUAGGUUAGGGAGGUAUAUUUUACACAUCAAAACCUCCAUCAAAUAUUCUUCUUAAAAACCUUGUCUGAUUCGGACACCAUUUCACUUGCUUUUGGCACCCCAGCUGGACAUUUCACUUGGAAACUGCAGCCACACGUGCAAUGAAGCACAUAAUAUCGAUAUGCAAAAUGUUGCUACGUUCAUUAGAUCAGGCUGAUAUCGUGGCAGUUUCUUGGUGAAAUGAACACUAGAGGGUGCUAUAACAACAAUGCUUUUAUUGACUUUCACACAAAUCACGAGUAAAACGGCAUAUUAUCAGUACAUGAACACUUACGUUUCGCCCUGUUCCUCACACAAUUCUAUCUAAUGACUUCUGAGCACUUAUAGCGGUGAUACAUGUUAACUGUUGCAUUACAUAUUCAACAACAUUUACAAAUUGCAACUGACAGAGCUUUGCACUUGUGAUGCAAAGGAUUGGGGACGAAUCUCGAAGAGCACGUGAGAUGACACGUGUCAAAGAAGCACCUCAAAUUGACGUGGUUGCUUCAGCAUUUUAGUUUUUCGUAUCAUAUUAGCGCUUAUGACACGGUU
This is a long non-coding RNA of Xyrauchen texanus (razorback sucker), 3372 nucleotides long. RefSeq lists it as uncharacterized. The transcript has 5 exons. The record is from RefSeq and is a predicted model, not a curated record. Lineage: Eukaryota; Metazoa; Chordata; Actinopteri; Cypriniformes; Catostomidae.